RNAcentral lists this long non-coding RNA (712 nucleotides) under Marmota monax (woodchuck). The record is from RNAcentral. Lineage: Eukaryota; Metazoa; Chordata; Mammalia; Rodentia; Sciuridae.
UGUGUUCCAGCCCUGCCACUCAUGGGUGGUGUAUACUUUUGCUUCUCUCGUCCUCACUUCCUCAUUUGUAAAGUGGACAUCAGAGCAGCCAUCCCCACAUUAGCACUUUCAGGUUUAAAUGAGAUAAGACAAGGACAACCCAUGUCACAGUGCGUGGAGGAGUGUGUCAGACAAUCCCAACUUCAGGACCUUGGAAGAAGAUGAUUCACAGACUUGACUUUUUCUUCCCAGGAAGCAAGCUCUGGGGCUGAUAUCCCUCUUGCCUCAUUGCUCUUGAUUUCCUCCUUCCCAGUAGAUUCUCUUUCCCUCCUUAGCUCAGGUGGUCUUUUCUUGUUGAAGAGCUGGUGUUCCUACCCCUGUGGACUCCUGCAGAGGACAGGAAGCCCCCAUCCCCCAACCAACCUUAUUCUCCCACCACAGCAGGAGAGUGUGGGGGGCACUGGAGGCCCCUCUCUGUGCAAGGAAGCAGCCCACUCACUCAGGUACUGACUCCUCCUCAUGUCUUCUGUGCCAGAGUUGUGCUCAUUGGCUGCCAAGAGUGUUCCAGAUGCCAUCAAGGUUCAGACUGCAUGUAAAGGUCUGGCUUUGGAUUCAAGGCUCUGCCACACAAAAGUCUAUGUAACCUCAGGCAAAUUUGCUCCCCUCUCUCUACUCAAUUUUCUAAUCUGUCAAUCUGGGACCAGUGCUCACACCCAGAGAUGAUAUUGAAAAU